RNAcentral lists this ribosomal RNA (468 nucleotides) under uncultured bacterium. RNAcentral's name for it is "partial 16S ribosomal RNA". It matches the Rfam family "Bacterial small subunit ribosomal RNA", at positions 28 to 507 of the family's 1533-position model. The record is from RNAcentral.
GACGAACGCUGGCGGCGUGCUUAACACAUGCAAGUCGAACGGAAAGGCUCCAGCUUGCUGGAGUACUCGAGUGGCGAACGGGUGAGUAACACGUGGGUGAUCUGCCCUGCACUUCGGGAUAAGCCUGGGAAACUGGGUCUAAUACCGGAUAGGACCGCACUUUGGUGUGUGUGGUGGAAAGGUUUUUCUGGUGUGGGAUGAGCUCGCGGCCUAUCAGUUUGUUGGUGGGGUAAUGGCCUACCAAGACGGCGACGGGUAGCCGGCCUGAGAGGGUGGACGGUCACAUUGGGACUGAGAUACGGCCCAGACUCCUACGGGGGGCAGCAGUGGGGAAUAUUGCACAAUGGGGGAAACCCUGAUGCAGCGACGCCGCGGGGGGGAUGAAGGCCUUCGGGUUGUAAACUCCUUUCGCUAGGGACGAAGCUUUUUGUGACGGUACCUGGAGAAGAAGCACCGGCUAACUACGUG